AAAACAUGUAGAAGCACUUUUAAAUGUA
Molecule: non-coding RNA, 28 nt
Filed under: Rattus norvegicus (Norway rat)
Lineage: Eukaryota; Metazoa; Chordata; Mammalia; Rodentia; Muridae
Source: RNAcentral